This 253-nucleotide ribosomal RNA is filed under the name uncultured bacterium. RNAcentral's name for it is "partial 16S ribosomal RNA". It matches the Rfam family "Bacterial small subunit ribosomal RNA", at positions 524 to 776 of the family's 1533-position model. The record is from RNAcentral.
UACGUAGGUGGCGAGCGUUGUCCGGAAUUACUGGGUGUAAAGGGCGUGUAGGCGGGAUGUUAAGUCAGAUGUGAAAGCCCAUGGCUCAACUGUGGGACUGCAUCUGAAACUAAUGUUCUUGAGUGCUGGAGAGGAAAGCGGAAUUCCUAGUGUAGCAGUGAAAUGCGUAGAGAUUAGGAGGAACACCAGUGGCGAAGGCGGCUUUCUGGACAGUAACUGACGCUGAGGCGCGAAAGCGUGGGGAGCAAACAGG